GAUGAACGCUGGCGGCGUGCCUAAUACAUGCAAGUCGAGCGAACAGACGAGGAGCUUGCUCCUCUGACGUUAGCGGCGGACGGGUGAGUAACACGUGGAUAACCUACCUAUAAGACUGGGAUAACUUCGGGAAACCGGAGCUAAUACCGAAUAAUAUAUUGAACCGCAUGGUUCAAUAGUGAAAGACGGUUUUGCUGUCACUUAUAGAUGGAUCCGCGCCGCAUUAGCUAGUUGGUAAGGUAACGGCUUACCAAGGCAACGAUGCGUAGCCGACCUGAGAGGGUGAUCGGCCACACUGGGACUGAGACACGGUCCAGACUCCUACGGGAGGCAGCAGUAGGGAAUCUUACGCAAUAGGCGAAAGCCUGACGGAGCAACGCCGCGUGAGUGAUGAAGGUCUUCGGAUCGUAAAAAUCUGUUAUUAGGGAAGAACAAAUGUGUAAGUAACGAUGCACGUCUUGACGGUACCUAAUCAGAAAGACACGGCUAACUACGUGC
RNAcentral lists this ribosomal RNA (498 nucleotides) under uncultured bacterium. Its description in RNAcentral is "partial 16S ribosomal RNA". It matches the Rfam family "Bacterial small subunit ribosomal RNA", at positions 28 to 508 of the family's 1533-position model. The record is from RNAcentral.